AGUGAACGCUGGCGGUAGGCCUAACACAUGCAAGUCGAACGGCAGCACAGGAGCGAUUGCUCUCUAGGUGGCGAGUGGCGGACGGGUGAGGCAUACAUCGGAAUCUGCCCAGUCGUGGGGGAUAACGUAGGGAAACUUACGCUAAUACCGCAUACGACCUUCGGGUGGAAGAGGGGGAUCGCAAGACCUCUCGCGAUUGGAUGAGCCGAUGUCGGAUUGGCUAGUUAGCGGGGUAAUGGCACACCAAGGCGACGAUCCGUAGCUGGUCUGAGAGGAUGACCAGCCACACUGUAACUGAGACACGGCCCAGACUCCUACGGGAGGCAGCAGUGGGGAAUAUUGGACAAUGGGGGCAAGCCUGAUCCAGCCAUACCGCGGGGGUGAAGAUGGACUUAGGGUUGUAAAGCCCUGUUGUUGGGAGAGAAAUAUUGCAGGCUAAUACCCUGGGAGGAUGACGGUACCCAAAGAAGAAGCACCGGCUAACUUCGUG
RNAcentral lists this ribosomal RNA (490 nucleotides) under uncultured bacterium. RNAcentral's name for it is "partial 16S ribosomal RNA". It matches the Rfam family "Bacterial small subunit ribosomal RNA", at positions 29 to 507 of the family's 1533-position model. The record is from RNAcentral.